This 207-nucleotide ribosomal RNA is filed under the name Stachybotryaceae sp. RNAcentral's name for it is "Stachybotriaceae sp. partial large subunit ribosomal RNA". Lineage: Eukaryota; Fungi; Ascomycota; Sordariomycetes; Hypocreales; Stachybotryaceae. The record is from RNAcentral.
AAGCGCACGCGACCAGACCUGCGCCGGUUGAUCACCCAGCGUUCUCGCUGGUGCACUCUGCCGGCCCAGGCCAGCAUCGGUUCGCCGCGGGGGAUAAAGGCACUGGGAACGUGGCUCUUCGGAGUGUUAUAGCCCUAUGCGUAAUGCCCCGUGGCGGACCGAGGAUCCGCGCUUCGGCAAGGAUGCUGGCGUAAUGGUCGUCUGCGA